This 232-nucleotide ribosomal RNA is filed under the name uncultured bacterium. RNAcentral describes it as "partial 16S ribosomal RNA". It matches the Rfam family "Bacterial small subunit ribosomal RNA", at positions 99 to 334 of the family's 1533-position model. The record is from RNAcentral.
CGGACGGGUGAGUAAUGUCUGGGAAACUGCCUGACGGAGGGGGAUAACUACUGGAAACGGUAGCUAAUACCGCAUAACGUCGCAAGACCAAAGAGGGGGACCUUAGGGCCUCUUGCCAUCGGAUGUGCCCAGAUGGGAUUAGCUAGUAGGUGGGGUAACGGCUCACCUAGGCGACGAUCCCUAGCUGGUCUGAGAGGAUGAUCAGCCACACUGGGACUGAGACACGGCCCAG